AGCUCCAAUAGCGUAUAUUAAAGUUGUUGCAGUUAAAAAGCUCGUAGUUGGAUUUGUAGCACAAAAGGCUGAAGUGUCUUAAUUGACUUGUUCAGCCUAUUAUGCUAUCCUUUUAAUAAUUUUUUCAGCGAAUGGAAAAUGUUUUAAAUCAUUUACUUUGAGUAAAUUAGAGUGUUCCAAGCAAGUUAAAUCUUUGAAUACUACAGCAUGGAAUAAUAAAAAAGUACAGUAGGUCUAUUUUGUUGGUUAACUAGGUCCUAUGUAAUGAUUAAGAGGAGCGGUUGGGGGCAUUUGAAUUAAACAGCUAGAGGUGAAAUUCUUAGAUUUGUUGAAGACAAACUACAGCGAAAGUAUUUGCCAAGGAUGUUUCCA
Molecule: ribosomal RNA, 372 nt
Filed under: uncultured eukaryote
Lineage: Eukaryota
Description: SSU rRNA
Rfam family: Eukaryotic small subunit ribosomal RNA
Source: RNAcentral